GGAGUCGGCCAGACGGUCGCCGCUGGCGUCGGUCCUCGCGAUCGGUGCCGGGGGAGGAAAGUCCGGGCUCCAUAGGGCAGGGUGCCAGGUAACGCCUGGGCGGCGCGAGCCGACGGAAAGUGCAGCAGAGAGUAGACCGCCUACGUCUCCUUUGGGAGGCCGGCAAGGGUGAAAGGGUGCGGUAAGAGCGCACCGCGCGCCUGGUAACAGUGCGUGGCAAGGUAAACCCCACCCGGAGCAAGACCAAAUAGGCCCCCGACGGUGUGGCCCGCACUGGGGGCGGGUAGGUUGCUUGAGGGCCGCGGUGACGUGGCUCCUAGAUGAAUGACUGUCCUCGACAGAACCCGGCUUAUCGGCCGACUCCCUCC
Molecule: RNase P RNA, 368 nt
Filed under: Billgrantia campisalis
Lineage: Bacteria; Pseudomonadati; Pseudomonadota; Gammaproteobacteria; Oceanospirillales; Halomonadaceae
Description: RNase P RNA component class A
Rfam family: Bacterial RNase P class A
About the family: Ribonuclease P (RNase P) is a ubiquitous endoribonuclease, found in archaea, bacteria and eukarya as well as chloroplasts and mitochondria. Its best characterised activity is the generation of mature 5'-ends of tRNAs by cleaving the 5'-leader elements of precursor-tRNAs.
Source: RNAcentral